AGUGAACGCUGGCGGUAGGCCUAACACAUGCAAGUCGAACGGCAGCACAGUAAGAGCUUGCUCUUACGGGUGGCGAGUGGCGGACGGGUGAGGAAUACAUCGGAAUCUACUUUUUCGUGGGGGAUAACGUAGGGAAACUUACGCUAAUACCGCAUACGACCUACGGGUGAAAGCAGGGGAUCUUCGGACCUUGCGCGAUUGAAUGAGCCGAUGUCGGAUUAGCUAGUUGGCGGGGUAAAGGCCCACCAAGGCGACGAUCCGUAGCUGGUCUGAGAGGAUGAUCAGCCACACUGGAACGGAGACACGGUCCAGACUCCUACGGGAGGCAGCAGUGGGGAAUAUUGGACAAUGGGCGCAAGCCUGAUCCAGCCAUACCGCGUGGGUGAAGAAGGCCUUCGGGUUGUAAAGCCCUUUUGUUGGGAAAGAAGAGCAGCAGGUUAAUACCCCGCUGUUCUGACGGUACCCAAAGAAUAAGCACCGGCUAACUUCGUG
RNAcentral lists this ribosomal RNA (492 nucleotides) under uncultured bacterium. Its description in RNAcentral is "partial 16S ribosomal RNA". It matches the Rfam family "Bacterial small subunit ribosomal RNA", at positions 29 to 507 of the family's 1533-position model. The record is from RNAcentral.